Molecule: ribosomal RNA, 753 nt
Filed under: uncultured Methanosarcinaceae archaeon
Lineage: Archaea; Methanobacteriati; Methanobacteriota; Methanomicrobia; Methanosarcinales; Methanosarcinaceae
Description: bacterial SSU rRNA
Rfam family: Archaeal small subunit ribosomal RNA
Source: RNAcentral
ACUGCUCAGUAACACGUGGAUAACCUGCCCUUGGGUCCGGCAUAACCCCGGGAAACUGGGGAUAAUUCUGGAUAACGCACAUAUGCUGGAAUGCUUUAUGCGUAAAAUGGAUUCGUCUGCCCAAGGAUGGGUCUGCGGCCUAUCAGGUAGUAGUGGGUGUAAUGUACCUACUAGCCAACAACGGGUACGGGUUGUGAGAGCAAGAGCCCGGAGAUGGAUUCUGAGACAUGAAUCCAGGCCCUACGGGGCGCAGCAGGCGCGAAAACUUUACAAUGCGGGAAACCGUGAUAAGGGGACACCGAGUGCCAGCAUCAUAUGCUGGCUGUCCAGGUGUGUAAACUACACCUGUUAGCAAGGGCCGGGCAAGACCGGUGCCAGCCGCCGCGGUAACACCGGCGGCCCGAGUGGUGAUCGUGAUUAUUGGGUCUAAAGGGUCCGUAGCCGGUUUGGUCAGUCCUCCGGGAAAUCUGAUAGCUCAACUAUUAGGCUUUCGGGGGAUACUGCCAGGCUUGGAACCGGGAGAGGUAAGAGGUACUACAGGGGGUAGGAGUGAAAUCUUGUAAUCCCUGUGGGACCACCUGGUGGCGAAGGCGUCUUACCAGAACGGGUUCGACGGUGAGGGACGAAAGCUGGGGGCACGAACCGGAUUAGAUACCCGGGUAGUCCCAGCCGUAAACGAUGCUCGCUAGGUGUCAGGCAUGGCGCGACCGUGUCUGGUGCCGCAGGGAAGCCGUGAAGCGAGCCACCCUGGGA